GACGAACGCUGGCGGCGUGCCUAAUACAUGCAAGUCGAACGCUUCUUUCCUCCCGAGUGCUUGCACUCAAUUGGAAAGAGGAGAGGCGGACGGGUGAGUAACACGUGGGUAACCUACCCAUCAGAGGGGGAUAACACUUGGAAACAGGUGCUAAUACCGCAUAACAGUUUAUGCCGCAUGGCAUAAGAGUGAAAGGCGCUUUCGGGUGUCGCUGAUGGAUGGACCCGCGGUGCAUUAGCUAGUUGGUGAGGUAACGGCUCACCAAGGCCACGAUGCAUAGCCGACCUGAGAGGGUGAUCGGCCACACUGGGGCUGAGACACGGCCCAGACUCCUACGGGAGGCAGCAGUAGGGAAUCUUCGGCAAUGGACGAAAGUCUGACCGAGCAACGCCGCGUGAGUGAAGAAGGUGUUCGGAUCGUAAAACUCUGUUGUUAGAGAAGAACAAGGACGUUAGUAACUGAACGUCCCCUGACGGUAUCUAACCAGAAAGACACGGCUAACUACGUG
Molecule: ribosomal RNA, 508 nt
Filed under: uncultured bacterium
Lineage: Bacteria
Description: partial 16S ribosomal RNA
Rfam family: Bacterial small subunit ribosomal RNA
Source: RNAcentral